Molecule: ribosomal RNA, 253 nt
Filed under: uncultured bacterium
Lineage: Bacteria
Description: partial 16S ribosomal RNA
Rfam family: Bacterial small subunit ribosomal RNA
Source: RNAcentral
UACGAGAGGCCCAAACGUUAUUCGGAUUUACUGGGCUUAAAGAGUUCGUAGGCGGUUCGGUAAGUGAGGUGUGAAAGCCCUCGGCUCAACCGAGGAAUUGCGCUUCAAACUGCCGGGCUCGAGGGAGAUAGAGGUGAGCAGAACUGAUGGUGGAGCGGUGAAAUGCGUUGAUAUCAUCAGGAAUACCGGAGGCGAAGGCGGCUCACUGGGGGUUAUCUGACGCUGAGGAACGAAAGCCAGGGGAGCAAACGGG